CUCUUCCUUUAAAUCCUCCUUCCAUUCUGCCCUCUGUGUGCAGUGUUAGUAAAUCCACUGCUGUGCAUGACCUUUUCAUCUCUCGUUCCCUAGACUUACUAGCCUUAACUGAAACAUAGCUCUCUCCUCCUGACACCGCUACCCCUGCCUCUCUAUCCUUUGGUGGUCUUUAAUUUUUCCACAACCCAAAACGCUCUGAAUGUAAAGGUGG
Pelobates cultripes (western spadefoot toad) is the source of this 211-nucleotide non-coding RNA. The record is from the annotation of a GenBank genome assembly. NCBI's taxonomy places the organism in Eukaryota, Metazoa, Chordata, Amphibia, Anura, Pelobatidae.